CCCUUAUAUGUUCUGGGCCGCACGCGCGCUACACUGAUGCAUUCAACGAGUCUAAAACCUGCUCUGAUAGGGGUGGGUAAUCUUUUGAAUGUGCAUCGUGAUUGGGAUAGAUGAUUGCAAUUUUUCAUCUUCAACGAGGAAUGCCUAGUAAACGCAAGUCAUCAGCUUGCAUUGAUUACGUCCCUGCCCUUUGUACACACCGCCCGUCGCUCCUACCGAUUGAAUGAUCCGAUGAAUAUCAUGGAUUGAGGAUGCAAGCAGGUUCGCCUGUCUUCAUCUUCGAGAAGUGAAGUAAAUCUUAUCAUUUAGAGGAAGGAGAAGUCGUAACA
RNAcentral lists this ribosomal RNA (329 nucleotides) under uncultured eukaryote. Its description in RNAcentral is "partial 18S ribosomal RNA". It matches the Rfam family "Eukaryotic small subunit ribosomal RNA", at positions 1470 to 1796 of the family's 1831-position model. The record is from RNAcentral.